Molecule: ribosomal RNA, 404 nt
Filed under: uncultured bacterium
Lineage: Bacteria
Description: bacterial SSU rRNA
Rfam family: Bacterial small subunit ribosomal RNA
Source: RNAcentral
GGACCCGCACAAGCGGUGGAGCAUGUGGUUUAAUUCGAUGCAACGCGAAAAACCUUACCUACUCUUGACAUACUUGGGAGCUCUUGUAAUGAGAGUGUGCCUUUUGGAACCAAGAUACAGGUGCUGCAUGGCUGUCGUCAGCUCGUGUCGUGAGAUGUUCCGUUAAGUCGGAUAACGAGCGCAACCCUUACCCUUAUUUGCCAGCGAUUCGGUCGGGAACUAUAAGGGGACUGCCGGUGAUAAACCGGAGGAAGGUGAGGACGACGUCAAGUCAUCAUGGCCCUUACGAGUAGGGCUACACACGUGCUACAAUGGGGAAUACAGACGGACGCUAAGCCGCGAGGUGGUGCUAAUCCUAGAAAGUUUCUCGUAGUCCGGAUUGGAGUCUGCAACUCGACUCCAUG